AUACGGAGGGUGCAAGCGUUAUCCGGAUUCAUUGGGUUUAAAGGGUGCGCAGGCGGACUUGUAAGUCAGUGGUGAAAUCCCGGGGCUCAACCUCGGAACUGCCAUUGAUACUGCAAGUCUUGAGUUUGGUUGAAGUGGGCGGAAUGUAGCAUGUAGCGGUGAAAUGCAUAGAUAUGCUACAGAACACCGAUCGCGAAGGCAGCUCACUAAACCAACACUGACGCUCAGGCACGAAAGCGUGGGGAGCAAACAGGAUUAGAAACCCCAGUAGUCC
This 274-nucleotide ribosomal RNA is filed under the name uncultured bacterium. RNAcentral's name for it is "partial 16S ribosomal RNA". It matches the Rfam family "Bacterial small subunit ribosomal RNA", at positions 523 to 796 of the family's 1533-position model. The record is from RNAcentral.